GCUCGUGGAUCGAUGAAGACCACAGGUAAAUGCGCGUUAGAAAGUGAACUGCAGGACACAUGAACACCGAAAAGUUGAACGCAUAUUGUACACCGUACAACAGUACGAUGUACACAUUUUUGAGUGCCUAUAUUUAUCCAUUCAACUGUAGGUGCGUGCGCGUCCCACCACAGCGCUGGCGCGAGGACAGUCGCACCACGUAUGCGCAGUGACGUUUUCCUGGCCCUCAGUAAAACGUUGAAGAUAAUCAGACCCCACCCGGGUGCGGUUGAUGAAUACAUCCCCUAGACCAACGCGCUUGGUUAUGUUGUAUUUCAUCGGCAGGCCAGCCGGCCACCGCCACCCAGUAGGCCUCAAAUAAUGUGUGACUACCCCCUAAAUUUAAGC
Molecule: ribosomal RNA, 387 nt
Filed under: Aedes rubrithorax
Lineage: Eukaryota; Metazoa; Arthropoda; Insecta; Diptera; Culicidae
Description: eukaryotic LSU rRNA
Rfam family: 5.8S ribosomal RNA (bases 1-129)
Source: RNAcentral